Molecule: non-coding RNA, 240 nt
Organism: Vicia faba (fava bean)
Lineage: Eukaryota; Viridiplantae; Streptophyta; Magnoliopsida; Fabales; Fabaceae
Source: the annotation of a GenBank genome assembly
AUGAACGAAGAAGAGGCCCCUGAUCAACCGAAGAAGAAGAAUCAUUUGUAUGCUUGUAUGUUGGACGACAAUGGAAUUGAAGGCUUGGACAAGCAUGCUGAGCAUAAAGCAAAUUCAAGCAUCACUAAACAGUAUUCCAUCGUAAGAGAUAUAACUGAACUUGAGCUUGGUACCGGAGCAGAAAGGCUGAAACAAAUUAUCAGUGAUUUACCAUCAGCAGAAGACUUUCACGCAAAUUAG